AGCCCAACAGCUAGCCCCCCUAAAUAAACCCACCUAUCAGAUAUUACUACACCUUAAGAUACUAAACUUAUCAACUAAAACAUUUUUCCCCUUUAGUAUGGGAGACAGAAAAAGGACUAAGGGCGCUAUAGAGAAAGUACCGCAAGGGAACGCUGAAAGAGAAAUGAAAAACCCAGUAAAGCACAAAAAAGCAGAGACACCUCCUCGUACCUUUUGCAUCAUGGAUUAGCAAGUAACAUUUAAGCAAAAUGAUUUUUAGUUUAUUUCCCCGAAACUAAGUGAGCUACUCCAAGACAAUCUGAUAUAGAAGGAUUCACCCGUCUCUGUGGCAAAAGAGUGGGGAGAGCUUCGAGUAGAGGUGACAAACCUAUCGAACUUAGUUAUAGCUGGUUGCCUGAGAAAUGAAUAGAAGUUCAGCCUCUUAUCUUCUUCCUUCGCUAUUGGGGGCCCCUGACACCAGAGCAAAAGAAGUUAAGAGAGUUAGUUAAAGGAGGGACAGCUCCUUUAAAAAAGACACAACUUUCGUAGGUGGGUAAGGAUCAAAAUAAACAAAGGCAAGAUAUCUUGGUGGGCCUAAAAGCAGCCACCCAAAAAGAAAGCGUUAUAGCUCAAGCAUCACCCCAGCCACAAAUUCUGAUAAACCUUUCUAAACCCCCUUAACUUACCAGGCCUCCCUACAACUAUGUAGGGAUGAUAAUGCUAGUAUGAGUAAUAAGAGACGCAACUCUCUCCAAGCACAAGUGUAAAUCAGAACGAACCCAUCACUGAAAAUUAACGGUCCCAAAGCAAAGAGGGGAUUGGAUCUAAACAUGAAAAGCUAGAAGACCUUCCAAUACUAACCGUUACCCCCACACUGGUGUGCCCCUCGGAAAGACUAAAAGGGGAAGAAGGAACUCGGCAAAAGUACUAAAAAGCCUCGCCUGUUUACCAAAAACAUCGCCUCUUGACCCAAUAUAAGAGGUCCCGCCUGCCCGGUGACACAUGUUUAACGGCCGCGGUAUUUUGACCGUGCGAAGGUAGCGCAAUCACUUGUCUUUUAAAUGAAGACCUGUAUGAAUGGCACCACGAGGGCUUAACUGUCUCCUUCCCCUGGUCAAUGAAAUUGAUCUCCCCGUGCAGAAGCGGGGAUACACACAUAAGACGAGAAGACCCUUUGGAGCUUUAGACAAAGGCAGACCAUGUCCCUCCCCCUAAAUAAAAAGAAUAAACUAAUUGGGCCCUGCACUCCGUCUUUGGUUGGGGCGACCGCGGGGUACACAAAACCCCCAUGUGGAAUGGGAGGUUCCUCCUAUAAUCAAGAGCCACAGCUCAAACUUUCAGAACUUCUGACCAAAAAAGAUCCGGCAUUGCCGAUCAACGAACCUAGUUACCCUAGGGAUAACAGCGCAAUCCCCUUUUAGAGCCCAUAUCGACAAGGGGGUUUACGACCUCGAUGUUGGAUCAGGACAUCCUAAUGGUGCAACCGCUAUUAAGGGUUCGUUUGUUCAACGAUUAAAGUCCUACGUGAUCUGAGUUCAGACCGGAGUAAUCCAGGUCAGUUUCUAUCUAUGAGAUGUUUCCUUCUAGUACGAAAGGACCGAAAGAAAGAGGCCUAUACUAUAAGCACGCCUCCCCCUGCUCUGAUGAAAUCAACUAAAACAGACAAAAGGGCAUGCCCUAUCUGUCCAAGAUAAAGGACUU
RNAcentral lists this ribosomal RNA (1680 nucleotides) under Hyporhamphus sajori (Japanese halfbeak). RNAcentral's name for it is "16S rRNA". It matches the Rfam family "Bacterial large subunit ribosomal RNA". Lineage: Eukaryota; Metazoa; Chordata; Actinopteri; Beloniformes; Hemiramphidae. The record is from RNAcentral.